Long non-coding RNA from Triplophysa dalaica, 1461 nucleotides. RefSeq lists it as uncharacterized. NCBI's taxonomy places the organism in Eukaryota, Metazoa, Chordata, Actinopteri, Cypriniformes, Nemacheilidae. The record is from RefSeq and is a predicted model, not a curated record. The transcript has 3 exons.
CCGGCAGACUAUCUCCUGACAGACAAACACCAUCAGUGUCAGCACAGGAACCAGAGACAGAGAGCCAAGACAAAGAUGCUUUGGAGGUGUCUACAGCUCAGGGGACAACCGGCACACCUUCUCCUCCUGACAGACAAACACCAUCAGUCUUAGGACAAGAAGCAAAGACAGAGAGCCAAGAGAAAGAUACUUUGAAAUUAAACUUAAAGAAAGGGAGGAAACCGCUAAAAGCAAAAAGACAAAAGUCCUAUGGACCACUUUGGAGAGAUCACUCACCGGAGAAAGUAAUCCAAGCCAGAAAAUUGGUGAAAGAAGUAGUGAUCAAAGAAGGACAAAUGUUAAGCAUCCUGCACCCACAAACUUGGCUCAGCAGUGAUGAAAUGGAUGCAGCUUGUUUUUACAUUUCUCAACAGUUCCCUCAUAUAGAUGGGUUUCAGUCCAACCUUCUCCAUCAGUGUCUUCACCAAGGGGGUGUGGUUGGGACACCACAGAAACCAUUUGUUCAAAUAUUGAACAUAAAUGACAACCACUGGAUCACAGCAAGCAACCUUUUCUGUGGACCAAACGAGGUGUGCCUAUAUGACAGCCUAAACACAAACAUCACCAAGCAGACAAAUCAAAAGUUGUCCUGGUUGAUUCGUCCACAAGCCCCCCAGUUUAAGAUAAAAAAACCUGCCGUACAAAUGCAGCAGUCAUCUAGCAGUUGCGGAGUUUUUGCAUUAGCCUUUGCAACUGUCUUAUGUGAUGGAGUCAAACCAGAAGAGUGCCAGUUUCAAGAAAGAAACAUGAGACGAACACUGUACAGAGCUUUGAUUUACAUAUCAGACAAUACAAGCAAAACCUGAAAGGGCCACAUUCCAGGUGGACGUUCACUGUAUCUGCAGGACCUCACACAACCAAGAGGUGAUGGUGCAGUGCAGCAACUGCAAUAACUGGUACCACCCCAACUGUGUGCCCACACACAGCUUUGGACACCACAGCAGAAGAGUGGAAUUGUGAAGUCUGCACUAAUUAAAAUGUACGGUAUAGAGGUUUGGAGUUAAUCUUAUACUAUACUAAAUGUUUGUGCUGACAUUGAAAUGUUCAGGUACUUGGGAUGAUGUUGCUUAAUAUAGAAUGAGUAAAUGUAACAUCACAAACAAUGUUUUUCUUCAAAUGUAGUCCAGAGAUUGGAGAGCAUUGGAAACAGGUUAGUGUUGAAAUCAGUGUACAUUGAAAGCACAAAGCAUGAGCAUAAACAGUUCUUGGUUUGUUGCAGGUGCUUAUGGGCGUGUAGUGGACUCUUGGAGAGGACUUUAACUAAAGACUGGCAAGAAUCCAACUAUAACUGACUAAGUUAUUCCAUGUGGCGAGAUCAGAACAGACUGUGUGUGUGUGUGUGUGCGUGCGUGCGUGCGUGCGUGUGUGCGUGCGCGUGCGUGUGUGUGUGUGUGCGUAUGCAUGCGCACUCAUUUCCUUAUA